UACGUAGGGGGCAAGCGUUGUCCGGAUUUAUUGGGCGUAAAGAGCUCGUAGGCGGUUUGGUAAGUCGGAUGUGAAAUCUCCAGGCUCAACCUGGAGGGGUCAUCCGAUACUGCCAUGACUUGAGUUCGGUAGGGGGAGUGUGGAAUUCCUGGUGUAGCGGUGAAAUGCGCAGAUAUCAGGAGGAACACCGGUGGCGAAGGCGGGACUC
This 208-nucleotide ribosomal RNA is filed under the name uncultured bacterium. RNAcentral describes it as "partial 16S ribosomal RNA". It matches the Rfam family "Bacterial small subunit ribosomal RNA", at positions 524 to 729 of the family's 1533-position model. The record is from RNAcentral.